CGAGAACAAGAACAAGAACGAUAACGACAAUAAUGAUAACAGCGACAUUAACGACGACAACGACAACAACGACAACAACCACAACAACAACAACAACAACAACAACAACAACACAACACAACAACAACAACAACAACAACAACGAAGACAAUGACAACGACAACGACAACAACAACAACAACAACAACAACAACAACAACAACAAC
Molecule: long non-coding RNA, 206 nt
Filed under: Hordeum vulgare
Lineage: Eukaryota; Viridiplantae; Streptophyta; Magnoliopsida; Poales; Poaceae
Description: long non-coding RNA (HVUL_LNC021555)
Source: RNAcentral